GUACGACAUCCAAAGUUAAUUGGAGACCUUGUGAGUGUAUUUUGCUGGACAGCUCGGAAGUUCCAGCGAAAAGAAUCAAAAAGCGGGUAGAUCGGUACUGCCCAUGACAGCUCGAAUUUCAUCUCUCGCAGCACUGCAGUCCCGUCGUGACCUCGACCGGUGUAGGGUAGCAAGUAUCUACAAAUAA
This is a long non-coding RNA of Maniola jurtina (meadow brown), 187 nucleotides long. RefSeq lists it as uncharacterized. The transcript is spliced from 5 exons. The record is from RefSeq and is a predicted model, not a curated record. Lineage: Eukaryota; Metazoa; Arthropoda; Insecta; Lepidoptera; Nymphalidae.